GCUAUGUGAUGAUGCUCCUAAAGACUGAGCACAUUGUAGUUGGUCCAUGGUGUGUAUGUGAUGUGCUGCAGUGUUUUCAAGACGGGACUGAUGGCAGC
Colius striatus (speckled mousebird) is the source of this 98-nucleotide small nucleolar RNA. It matches the Rfam family "Small nucleolar RNA SNORD21". Rfam says of the family: U21 is a member of the C/D class of snoRNA which contain the C (UGAUGA) and D (CUGA) box motifs. NCBI's taxonomy places the organism in Eukaryota, Metazoa, Chordata, Aves, Coliiformes, Coliidae. The record is from Rfam.